CCUACGGGAGGCAGCAGUGGGGAAUCUUGCGCAAUGGGCGAAAGCCUGACGCAGCCAUGCCGCGUGAAUGAUGAAGGUCUUAGGAUUGUAAAAUUCUUUCACCGGGGACGAUAAUGACGGUACCCGGAGAAGAAGCCCCGGCUAACUUCGUGCCAGCAGCCGCGGUAAUACGAAGGGGGCUAGCGUUGCUCGGAAUUACUGGGCGUAAAGGGAGCGUAGGCGGAUAGUUUAGUCAGAGGUGAAAGCCCAGGGCUCAACCUUGGAAUUGCCCUUGAUACUGGCUAUCUUGAGUACGGAAGAGGUAUGUGGAACUCCGAGUGUAGAGGUGAAAUUCGUAGAUAUUCGGAAGAACACCAGUGGCGAAGGCGACAUACUGGUCCGUUACUGACGCUGAGGCUCGAAAGCGUGGGGAGCAAACAGGAUUAGAUACCCUGGUAGUCCACGCUGUAAACGAUGAGUGCUAGUUGUCGGCAUGCAUGCAUGUCGGUGACGCAGCUACGCAUAAGACACCUCCGCCGUCGGGGAGGUACGGUCGCGAGAAUUAAACUACGAAGAAGUAGUACGGCGNGAGACGUGCCGACGGACGACGACGAGGGAGGUUAGG
This 604-nucleotide ribosomal RNA is filed under the name uncultured bacterium. Its description in RNAcentral is "bacterial SSU rRNA". The stretch from base 1 to 517 matches the Rfam family "Bacterial small subunit ribosomal RNA", at positions 338 to 873 of the family's 1533-position model. The record is from RNAcentral.